GAUAAUAUUUGAGGAAGGAAACGAACUCCUGCUUUUCUACAUCAUCACGAUGAGUGCGUCUCCUUCCAUUUAAGGAUGCGCUCCAGCUCCAGCACUUUGGCUGUUUCUGAAUAUCAGAUCGCUUCCGUCCUGCAGAGCAGCCUCCAGGUGUGAGUGAGACUCAGAGACAGCGUCUUAGAAGAGUGACUGCAGUGAAGAGAGCUAAAAUGAGAGCAAUAAGGCCUACUUUGAAUGGUGCCCAAAGCUGGAAGAGAAUCUCCAGCUGGCCAAGUCUACAAGGAAAGCAGCUCUUCCCUGACCCUUAUGAACUCUAGUGGCUCCAGUACUGCUGGAGUGGCAUGUGGCUGUGUGGAGCCUGUAACAAGCCUAGCAAGACCAUUGAAAAGGAAAACGUGUUUGGGAAACCAUAAAGCCCCUUGAGAAGAUGAUUGUUUUUGAAACAUGAUUCCUACUUGUUCCUGAGAUCUGGUUGAAACUAAAUUACCCAAGUAUUCAUCAUAAAGUGAUCACAGUACUUUGGUACUUGACAUGCAUUGAGAAUGUCUCACACUCUUAGCCAUAAAGUCAGGCAGUCCCAGCAGUAAUCCAUAUCAAGCCAAUUGAAAAGGAAGAGACAUCUAUGAUGCUGAGCCAGUGAGAAACCUGGAGUGCAGGUAAGUGGUGUGAAUGGGCAUUGACACUCCUUCCACAUUGUUCUUUCUUCCUAGACCUCGUGGAGGUGUUCCCAUGACUGGAACCUGGAGCACAGAUGGCUUUGCACCGUAUUCUGGCACCAGAUGGGGUGAGAGAACGUGUUGCUGCUCUUCAUGGUGUCCUUAAGGCAGCAGGAUUUGGUAGACAGCAGGCACCCUGCUGGAAGCCUGAAGGCCCUGGAUUAGAACCCAUGAUGAUACAAUGCCAAGGCUUGCACUCAGGCUUAUAGCCACCUGCAAGACAGUGUCUCAGUGUUCCUACUUUGAAGGAGUCCCCUUUAACUGGCCCCAUCAUAUCAUCCUUGGCAUCAAACUGGCUGUGUCAAAACAGCUUCAGCAACAGAUCAUACGCUCAAAAGGGAAGCAGUUUGCUACCCCAUUAAAACCUCCCUUGCUGA
RNAcentral lists this long non-coding RNA (1090 nucleotides) under Chinchilla lanigera (long-tailed chinchilla). Its description in RNAcentral is "lncRNA (ENSCLAG00000026735.1)". The record is from RNAcentral. Lineage: Eukaryota; Metazoa; Chordata; Mammalia; Rodentia; Chinchillidae.